This 665-nucleotide long non-coding RNA is filed under the name Bos indicus x Bos taurus (hybrid cattle). RNAcentral's name for it is "lncRNA (ENSBIXG00000007883.1)". The record is from RNAcentral. Lineage: Eukaryota; Metazoa; Chordata; Mammalia; Artiodactyla; Bovidae.
UGGGUCCAGGGUAGUUUGGACGUCUUUUUAGCCAGCAAUCUUCAUGAUGUAUUAUUGUCUAUCUUCCCUCCACCUUUUGUUCCUUUUUUUUUUUUUUUUUGGUAGAUCUCACUGAUGGGCCUGAGUUAAUCCUGUACCACCACCACCACCACCAUCAUCAUCAUUUCUCUCCCUUGAAGCCCUCUGUGGAACAAGACACAUCUCAAAGCUUCUGGCUGUUUCUUCUGCAUCUCAGAACUAAUUUCAGAAAUCACUGGUGCACCAAGUUCACCAAAUCUCUGGGGAGAGGAGACGCCAACCUGAGGAGCAACGUUGGUUGUAAAGGUAGAUAAUCAAGAACUUGGCCACACCCACCAUCCCUGUGGCCUCACUUUGGUUCAUCCUCAUUCAUUCUGUCUCGAGAUGCAAUUUCUUGUCCAAAUCCAUUGCCUUGCUCUUUUGGGGGUGAUAACUUCUGUUCAGGCCUUCUCAGACAUUGCUUCUAUUUAUUUCACAAUCUGGAGCAACUGAGGGUGGUCCCUUGGGUGGAAGAUAAAUCAGAAUUCACUCAGAACCAAAGAGGCAGGGUGAUAUAAGAGAGGGUUCUUUUUAUCUGUGCUUGUGUUUGCUUUGGUGGUACAUAUACUUAAAAUGAUUUUAAGCAUUAAAUCAUGCAUGCAAGGCAG